This 301-nucleotide ribosomal RNA is filed under the name uncultured bacterium. RNAcentral's name for it is "partial 16S ribosomal RNA". It matches the Rfam family "Bacterial small subunit ribosomal RNA", at positions 509 to 807 of the family's 1533-position model. The record is from RNAcentral.
CAGUAGCCACGGUAAUACGUGGGGUGCGAGCGUUAAUCGGAAUUACUGGGCGUAAAGCGUGCGCAGGCGGUUCGUUAAGACAGAUGUGAAAGCCCUGGGCUCAACCUAGGAAUUGCAUUUGAUACUGUUUGGCUUGAGUUCGGGAGAGGUGAGUGGAAUUCCCAGUGUAGAGGUGAAAUUCGUAGAUAUUGGGAAGAACACCAGUGGCGAAGGCGGCGACCUGGUCCUUGACUGACGCUGAGGCGCGAAAGCGUGGGGAGCAAACAGGAUUAGAUACCCCUGUAGUCCCUGUCUCUUAUAC